Molecule: ribosomal RNA, 274 nt
Filed under: uncultured bacterium
Lineage: Bacteria
Description: partial 16S ribosomal RNA
Rfam family: Bacterial small subunit ribosomal RNA
Source: RNAcentral
CUACGGAGGGUGCAAGCGUUACUCGGAAUCACUGGGCGUAAAGGACGCGUAGGCGGAUUGGAAAGUCAGAUGUGAAAUCCUACAGCUUAACUGUAGAACUGCAUUUGAAACUUCUAAUCUAGAGUAUGGGAGGGGGAGAUGGAAUUAGUGGUGUAGGGGUAAAAUCUGUAGAUAUCACUAGGAAUACCGAAAGCGAAGGCGAUCUCCUGGAACAUAACUGACGCUAAGGCGUGAAAGCGUGGGGAGCAAACGGGAUUAGAAACCCUUGUAGUCC